This 232-nucleotide ribosomal RNA is filed under the name uncultured bacterium. Its description in RNAcentral is "partial 16S ribosomal RNA". It matches the Rfam family "Bacterial small subunit ribosomal RNA", at positions 104 to 334 of the family's 1533-position model. The record is from RNAcentral.
CGGGGUGAGUAACGCGUGAGGAACCUGCCUUGAAGAGGGGGACAACAGUUGGAAACGACUGCUAAUACCGCAUGACGCAUAGAGGUCGCAUGAUCUUUAUGCCAAAGAUUUAUCGCUUCAAGAUGGCCUCGCGUCUGAUUAGCUAGUUGGCGGGGUAACGGCCCACCAAAGCGACGAUGGAUAGGGGUUCUGAGAGGAAGGUCCCCCACAUUGGAACUGAGGCACGGUCCAA